This 1251-nucleotide long non-coding RNA is filed under the name Struthio camelus australis. Its description in RNAcentral is "lncRNA (ENSSCUG00000007817.1)". Lineage: Eukaryota; Metazoa; Chordata; Aves; Struthioniformes; Struthionidae. The record is from RNAcentral.
GUUGUGCUAUUGUUGAGGCAGUAACAGAUGCUGCUGUGACAGCCAGAACUGCAGCCACGGUGGCUACCCCUGGACUAGAAAUGCUAAAGGAAAUGGUGUCUUCCGUUACUAUAGUUGUGAAGAAUACUAGAGAAGUACAAAAUACUGGGGUGAAGUCCAGACCACUGAAAUACGGACCCUACUUCUCAAAGGCUUUUAGCCACCUAAUUUUCACUCAACUCAGCAAGGUACCUAGGUACUUACAGUCAUAAAACCUGUCAGUCACAAAUAUGAAGACCUAAUAGACUCAGAAGAGCCAAGGAGCAGUCAUCAACUUUCACCAUCACUCAGGUAUCCAUUUUUUAAAGGUAAUUGCCCAUUGAAGUUCCAUUGAUUUCAAUUGCUAUUAGAUACCUGAAUAUAUUGAAGGAUCUUUCAGCUUUAUGCAGGCACAAAUUGUUAAAUAAGCAAAAAUCAUUUUUCUGAAGGGCCAUCUUUCUUAUUUUCUUUAUUCUAUCCUCCACUGAAAGUUGGGUUCCUGCCUAAAUGGCUAAAAACUGUGGCAGUGUUGAAUGUUCAGCGCUGAACUUCACUGAAAAUAUUGGUCUAAAUUUCCUUGUUGACUGUAACCAAGACAUGAAGUGUCUUUGCAGACCUCUACUACAAUUACAGUUGUUGUAGAGGCUUUUAUACCAUGUGUGAUUAAAAUCUGAUAAAUUUAUCUGAUACUGAAGAUGCUACUUAUACUACAUCUUGAACAUUACAUACAGAACUUUCUUAAUUUGGCUGUGUCAAGCAUGUUAUGAUCUCUAGCAAUGACAGAUAGCCAGAACAUUCAUAUUUGACAGGGCCUCUUUAGUCAUGCUAAACUGAGUUUGAUUCCUGAGAGGUAGUAUCAGUAUUACUGUACUAAUUUAUUAGACAUGGCUAGAUUUAAAAUUUUAUUUUUGCGCAGUUAUUUAAAAUUUAAAAUGAUAAUGUCAAAACUAAUUAAAUUUUAGCUGAUCACUCUCCAAAUGCAUAAAAGUCUCAUCAAAUAUGUAUAAAGAGUCCUUAGAUCUUCUAUAACAACUUAAUCUCCAUACAGAUGAUCAGUUUUUCAUAUCAUUGUGUCCCCUAGUAGAUACUUGUAUGUCAAAAGUUUAGCUGUGACCAAAGAUAAUACCAUAUAGAAAACUGGUUUUACUUAGCUCAUUACUACAGACACUAGCCUCUUCCUUCUGUAUUAUUUCCCUAUUAGUCCAUAGCAAGGUUAUAUCAAUGUCUAUACUC